GAUGAACGCUGGCGGCGUGCUUAACACAUGCCAGUCGAACGAGAAGUGAAGACGGAAACCUUCGGGCGGAAGGCUUUAUUUCGAGUGGCGGGCGGGUGAGUAACGCGUGGGUAACCUGCCUCAUACAGGGGGAUAACAGUUGGAAACGACUGUUAAUACCGCAUAAGACCACAGCACCGCAUGGUGCGGGGGUAAAAACUCCGGUGGUAUGAGAUGGACCCGCGUUCGAUUAGCCAGUUGGCGGGGUAACGGCCCACCAAAGCGACGAUCGAUAGCCGAUCUGAGAGGAUGACCGGCCACAUUGGGACUGAGACACGGCCCAAACUCCUACGGGAGGCAGCAGUGGGGAAUAUUGCACAAUGGGGGAAACCCUGAUGCAGCGACGCCGCGUGAGUGAAGAAGUAUUUCGGUAUGUAAAGCUCUAUCAGCAGGGAAGAAAAUGACGGUACCUGAGUAAGAAGCCCCGGCUAACUACGUG
This 478-nucleotide ribosomal RNA is filed under the name uncultured bacterium. RNAcentral describes it as "partial 16S ribosomal RNA". It matches the Rfam family "Bacterial small subunit ribosomal RNA", at positions 28 to 507 of the family's 1533-position model. The record is from RNAcentral.